CACAUGUGAUCGGCUUGCAGGACGAUGCGACGACAAGCUCGACUUUGUUUCAUCUAUUUCCAUAUUCUUUUUGCGUCUUGUAGAGAAGUCGGCCCGUGGGAGGAUGAGCUCGCGGCGAGGCGUCGUGAUAGCAACCCCCUUCCACGAGGAGGAGGAGGAGGUUGAUCCCUUCUAGGUUUAUCGUCUAAGGAUUUUGUCAGAUCCGAUGCGGUGCGGUUACUUCGGGUGGCUUUUUCUGGUAGCAGUGACAGAGGCAUGCAAUGGAAGGUCUCCCUAACCCUAAGUUACUUAAAGGCAAGGAUUUGCCCUUUUGUUAAUGGCUAUUGUCUAGGGAGAUGUUUUGUACUCGCCCAUGGAUGGUCAUCAAGUUCAAAGCAAUGUUCGUUCUCCUUCCUGACUGACUUUUAUAUUGUAGAUGUUUCGGGCUUUAAUUUUAAGAAGGCUUCUCUAUUUCAUAGGUCGAUUAAUUGUCAGGAUGUUGGGUAAUUCCUAUUAUCUGAGCUAUUAGUGUGAUCUAAUUUAGCUUCUUGUUAAAUAUUCCAGUGGAUCUGAAAGAAAUUUGCUAACUGAAGCGGACACAUUUUUGUAGUCAUCAUCUUGAUGCUGGAACCUGCCUGUAACAUUUGUGAGGUCAGAUAAGUAGGAAAAUUAUGGUGCUUCAAUGGGACUCCAUCUUAUGGUGUGGCAGUCUUCAGUUAGUUUAGAACAACAACUGCUAUAAAUGAUCAAUUUGUGAAAUUCUAGUACUAACAAAUGUGUAUUUGGAAGUGUUAUUUUCACAUUGAUGGAGGUGCCACAGAUUGAUGUUUGCCAUUAAUUCAGGUUGUGAACUUUUGACCUAGGCAGACAUGAAUUGUCUCUGCAGACGUUCUUGCAAACUAGUGUGUUAAAAAAAUGAUCAAUUUUUUGCUUUUUGUUAUGUGUCAAAUUCUCUCACAUUCUUGGGGUUCUCUUUGUUCAUUCUUGUAGGUUUCUGCAGAGGGUGACUCAGUUGUGCAAGUAGAACAUCAGGGACUGAGACAAAAUCAGUCCCUUCGUUCAUUCAGUAUUUCUAUGGUAUGAUAGAAGCAGUGGUGAUGUGUGGGUGAUGUCAGACAAUGGAUUUUCCAAGGAACGAUGCCAGUCUGAACAUAUGCUUCUAAGGUAUGGGGUCUAGAAUUUUAGUACAAGCUUCUGCUUCAUAGAUUUAACUUGUGGCUAGAACUGUCUUAAAGGGGGACCUCUGGAAUAGUAUCUAUAGAUUAAGAGUGGUGAUGCUGGAAAUCCGUGGAAGCAGGAAGCCCACUAUUUUUGCUCACUUUUCCAGUGGCUUGAAAUGACAUGCAACUGGUUUGAUUCUUCUGUUCCUUUGAUUCCUCUCUCUCUCUCUCUCUCUCUCUCUCUCUCUCUCUCUCUCUCUCUCUCUCAAGAAUGCUCAUGUUACUUUGUUGGUGUCAUGCAUCAUCUGAUAUUUGUGGGCAUACUUUAUAAUAUUCAUCAAUUUUGUCCCACAUAUUUCCUGCAAAAUGGCAACUGAUGAGCAGGUGGAGAAGACUGCAGCGCAUUCAGAGCUGAUCGACGAUAUAUUGCAGGCUACAAAAGUGACUGCAGCUGAGACAGGUGUUGGCCGACGAGCAUGGUAGCCACGAGUCCCUUCCUCAGCAGUGUGAUCUUGAUGUGAUCGUCUCCGAGUUCGGAUGCGAAUCAUGUGGUGGAUCCCGGUGAGAUGCUCACCAACUAUUUGAUUCAAUGCUUCCAUGAGCCAGCGGUAGAAGCCAAAGAAACGACGCCCAUCCGAGCUCGACUGCAGGCCACAGCUGUGCUUUUCUAUCGCAUGGGGAGUCGACGCCGACUUGCGUGUUUCUCUCCCCUGCAUACAAGUCAAGCUGGAUCUUCGGUGGAUCAAUGUGAUCUCCCUCGGCUUGCUUGGAAUUUGUAGGCGACAGUGCAUCUGUUGCCGAUGUCCCAAAUUGACCGCAAUGUGGGUUGACUUCAUGCAGCCGGUAGUACUCGGCUGGCAAUCCAGUCGAUGGACUUGGCGCCUCCCCAUCAAGAACUAUCUAUCAUCUGAUAGCACCUAUCUUUACUGUCUUAAAUCCAGUGAAUAUUUAGUUUUGAUCGGAGAACUGAUGGUCCUCAUCUCUCAUGCAAUAAGCAGUUAAUAGAUUCAAAUACUCGGGUA
Molecule: non-coding RNA, 2161 nt
Organism: Musa acuminata subsp. malaccensis (wild Malaysian banana)
Lineage: Eukaryota; Viridiplantae; Streptophyta; Magnoliopsida; Zingiberales; Musaceae
Source: RefSeq, a predicted model, not a curated record